Molecule: ribosomal RNA, 253 nt
Filed under: uncultured bacterium
Lineage: Bacteria
Description: partial 16S ribosomal RNA
Rfam family: Bacterial small subunit ribosomal RNA
Source: RNAcentral
UACAGAGGUCCCAAGCGUUGUUCGGAUUCAUUGGGCGUAAAGGGUGCGUAGGCGGCGCGGUAAGUCGGGUGUGAAAUCUUGGAGCUUAACUCCGAAACUGCAUUCGAUACUGCCGUGCUUGAGGACUGGAGAGGAGACUGGAAUUUACGGUGUAGCGGUGAAAUGCGUAGAGAUCAUGAGGAAGACCAGUGGCGAAGGCGGGUCUCUGGACAGUUCCUGACACUGAGGCACGAAGGCCAGGGGAGCAAACGGG